AUGACUUCACUGAAUAAAGUUGUUCCAAAUAAUGGUGAUGCAAGGUCAAUGUUGCCAAAUAAAAUCACUGCAUUAAAUCCCAAUGCAGCAGAGUUUGUCCCUUCAUGUGUUAUUAGACCAUCCUAUGGUAAUAGCACAGCUUCAGAUGCAAGUAAGUCUGAACUUAGGGGGUCACCUGGAAAAAAAAUUCUAGAUAGGUCUGAGUCGUCCAAGUCUAAUAACUCAGACGAUGAGGCACACCAGUUCUGGCGUAAGCAGCUCCCAGAUGAUAUUAUUCCAGACUUCACUUCUUUCGAGAAAAUCGAACAAGAACCUGAAGAACUGUCCCUUGCUGGAUUAUCCUUGAAUGCACCUCCUUUCUAUGGGACAAAAGCUAGCCGCUUGUCAAGAGAACACCAAGAGUUGUCUUCUUCAGCUAGCAACCUGGAACUUGGGCAUACCAAUUUAUUUUACGAGGAUAAUUCACAGUCAACCUUUUCAACUGUUGGUUCAAGCAAUUGGGAGCAAAAUUACGUGGGUGACCUCCACUUUGCUAAUGAAAAUCAGGACCUUCAGUAUGAUCCUACCACAGGCUUUACUGACAGUUUUGCUAGUGAGUACGUUGCAGCAUCAGAUGGCCUUUUUGAUCCCCUAGAGUAUUUAGCGUCUCAGUUUCCUGGAUUUUCAGCAGAGAGUCUUGGGGAGCUGUACUAUGCAAAUGGAUGUGACUUCAAUCAUACUAUUGAAAUUCUCACCCAGCUAGAGAUGCAAGUGGAUCCUACUUCCAAUCAGGCAAUGAAUUUGACCCCCAGCUCACCAAACUUUAGUACGGGCGACUUUCCUGCCCUGCCAACAGCAGAAGAUCAAAACGGUUUCUCUAAGGGAGAUAUGGAUAUCCUUGGCUUCUUCAGUGGGCGCAAUUCUUCCACCAUAUCUAGUGGUACUGGUGAUUUUGUUUCAGCUGUUCGGAAACUUGCAUCGCAGAAUUCUGGCCACAACAAGUUCAAAAAGGGUCCUGAUUACGGCAAUGGUGUUUCUACCGUUUCUGUACCCAAGCAGUACAGUUUUGGUUCUAAAACAUCUUCCGGGAACAAGUAUCAAAGUGUUAGUAGUGCACGUGCAGCUGCAACUCCAUGGCUUGAUACUGGCGAUGCAGUCGCAAACAUGUAUUCGGAAUCGAGGGAAGAAGCUCGUGAUUUUGCCCGUGUCCGAAAUGCAUGUUUUGAGCAGGCUAGACAAGCUUACCUAAUUGGCAACAAAGCUCUGGCCAAGGAACUAAGCAUCAAAGGUCAGGCCUAUAACUCGCAAAUGAAAGCAGCUCAUGAGAAAGCUAGAGAAGCUAUUUAUCGACAGAGGAACCCUGGUGCUUUGCAACGGGGGAGUGAUCGUCUGAUUGAUCUACACGGCCUCCACGUGAGCGAAGCAAUCCAUAUCCUGAAGGUCGAGCUCGGCUCCCUGAGGGGCAUGGCGAGGGCUUCAGGCGAAAGGAUGCAAGUCAUGGUAUGCGUCGGAACAGGCCACCACACCAAGGGGUCUCGCACCGCGAGGCUGCCCAUCGCCGUCGAGCAGUUCCUUCUGGACGAAGGGCUCCAUUACACGCAACCUCAGCCCGGCCUGCUUCGCGUCGCCGUGUACUAA
RNAcentral lists this ribosomal RNA (1617 nucleotides) under Triticum aestivum (bread wheat). RNAcentral's name for it is "partial small subunit ribosomal RNA". The record is from RNAcentral. Lineage: Eukaryota; Viridiplantae; Streptophyta; Magnoliopsida; Poales; Poaceae.